This 147-nucleotide small RNA is filed under the name Stutzerimonas nitrititolerans. RNAcentral's name for it is "PrrF RNA". It matches the Rfam family "PrrF RNA". From Rfam's summary of the family: PrrF RNA is a small RNA involved in iron homeostasis and is found exclusively in Pseudomonas species. Their expression is induced under iron limitation by the ferric uptake regulator (Fur) and they act to negatively regulate several genes including sodB and sdh. Lineage: Bacteria; Pseudomonadati; Pseudomonadota; Gammaproteobacteria; Pseudomonadales; Pseudomonadaceae. The record is from RNAcentral.
UUGACACGCAAACGAGAAUUGUUAUUAUUCGCACAACUGGUCGCGAGAUCAGCCGAUAAGCUGAGAGCUCAGGCAGUCGAACUUUCAGGUUAUCUCCUCAUCAGGCUAAUCACGGUUUUGACCCGGCUUCUUGCCGGGUCUUUUUUU